ACUCCCUCCGUCCCGAUUUAUAAGAGAAAAAAAAAAAACACACUUAUUAAGAAAUGCAUUUAAUAUUCUAAAAUCUAUCAAAAACAUAAUUUUGUUUCCAAAAGUACCCCUAUUAACUUAUUCCAUAAAAAAGCAAAAUCAUUUAAUAUCCUACUCCUAAUUUCUAAGUACCCCCCUAAUAAUUAAUUGUUUUGGAAAAUAUAACAAGGGGUAUUUUUGGAACUAUAAAAUUAAAUUGGUCAAAUUUGAGUAUUUUCCCUUAUAAUUUGGGACAAAAAAAAUGGUCUUUUUUCCCUUAUAAAUCGGGACGGAGGGAGUAAUUU
Molecule: long non-coding RNA, 323 nt
Filed under: Trifolium pratense (red clover)
Lineage: Eukaryota; Viridiplantae; Streptophyta; Magnoliopsida; Fabales; Fabaceae
Description: long non-coding RNA (TPRA_LNC011329)
Source: RNAcentral